RNAcentral lists this ribosomal RNA (292 nucleotides) under uncultured bacterium. Its description in RNAcentral is "partial 16S ribosomal RNA". It matches the Rfam family "Bacterial small subunit ribosomal RNA", at positions 505 to 796 of the family's 1533-position model. The record is from RNAcentral.
GUGCCAGCCGCCGCGGUAAUACAGAGGGUGCGAGCGUUAAUCGGAAUUACUGGGCGUAAAGCGCACGUAGGUGGUUGUGUAAGUCGAGUGUGAAAGCCCCGGGCUCAACCUGGAAACUGCAUUCGAGACUGCAUUACUCGAGUAUGGGAGAGGGCAGUGGAAUUUCUGGUGUAGCGGUGAAAUGCGUAGAUAUCAGAAGGAACAUCAGUGGCGAAAGCGACUGCCUGGCCCAAUACUGACACUCAAGUGCGAAAGCGUGGGGAGCAAACAGGAUUAGAAACCCCCGUAGUCC